AUUGAACGCUGGCGGCAUGCCUUACACAUGCAAGUCGAACGGUAACAGGUCUUCGGAUGCUGACGAGUGGCGAACGGGUGAGUAAUACAUCGGAACGUGCCCGAUCGUGGGGGAUAACGAGGCGAAAGCUUUGCUAAUACCGCAUACGAUCUACGGAUGAAAGCGGGGGAUCUUCGGACCUCGCGCGGACGGAGCGGCCGAUGGCAGAUUAGGUAGUUGGUGGGAUAAAAGCUUACCAAGCCGACGAUCUGUAGCUGGUCUGAGAGGAUGAUCAGCCACACUGGAACUGAGACACGGCCCAGACUCCUACGGGAGGCAGCAGUGGGGAAUUUUGGACAAUGGGCGAAAGCCUGAUCCAGCCAUGCCGCGUGCAGGAUGAAGGCCUUCGGGUUGUAAACUGCUUUUGUACGGAACGAAAAGCCUCUUUCUAAUAAAGAGGGGUCAUGACGGUACCGUAAGAAUAAGCACCGGCUAACUACGUG
Molecule: ribosomal RNA, 482 nt
Filed under: uncultured bacterium
Lineage: Bacteria
Description: partial 16S ribosomal RNA
Rfam family: Bacterial small subunit ribosomal RNA
Source: RNAcentral